GCGCAGGUGGCGGAGCGGUCAAUCGCAUCAGACUGUAAAUCUGACGCCCUUAGGGCUACGCAGGUUCGAAUCCUGCCCUGCGCA
Molecule: transfer RNA, 84 nt
Filed under: bacterium
Lineage: Bacteria
Description: tRNA-Tyr
Rfam family: tRNA
About the family: Transfer RNA (tRNA) molecules are approximately 80 nucleotides in length.
Source: RNAcentral